GUGACUGCAGUGUACUCUCAAUGAGGAAGAUAUAGAUACGAAAAGAACUAGAGCCGCAUCACAUGGGGACUUCUGCAAAUACAGAGACUCGGAUUAAAGGUGGAGAAGAUGGAGCUAAUGGAACUGCUUAUUUAAUACAUUUGAACAACUUUUGGGGUACUUAGGUGCUUUGAAACCUCCAUUUGAUUAAGCAAGAAUUCGCUUGCAAGUUAAGGGGCACUCCACAGAAGGAUGUUAUUAUCAAGUCAGAUGCACCGGACACUUUGUUAUUGGAGAAACAUGCAGAUUAUAUCGCAUCCUAUGGCUCAAAGAAAGAUGAUUAUGAAUACUGUAUGUCUGAGUAUUUGAGAAUGAGUGGCAUCUAUUGGGGUCUGACAGUAAUGGAUCUCAUGGGACAACUUCAUCGCAUGAAUAGAGAAGAGAUUCUGGCAUUUAUUAAGUCUUGCCAACAUGAAUGUGGUGGAAUAAGUGCUAGUAUCGGACAUGAUCCUCAUCUUUUAUACACUCUUAGUGCUGUCCAGAUUCUUACGCUGUAUGACAGUAUUAAUGUUAUUGACGUAAAUAAA
RNAcentral lists this small RNA (566 nucleotides) under Pan troglodytes (chimpanzee). RNAcentral describes it as "processed transcript". The record is from RNAcentral. Lineage: Eukaryota; Metazoa; Chordata; Mammalia; Primates; Hominidae.